RNAcentral lists this ribosomal RNA (253 nucleotides) under uncultured bacterium. RNAcentral describes it as "partial 16S ribosomal RNA". It matches the Rfam family "Bacterial small subunit ribosomal RNA", at positions 524 to 776 of the family's 1533-position model. The record is from RNAcentral.
UACAGAGGGUGCGAGCGUUGUUCGGAAUUAUUGGGCGUAAAGGGCGCGUAGGCGGUGCGGUAAGUCACCUGUGAAAUCUCCUGGCUCAACUGGGAGCUUGCAGGCGAAACUGCCGUGCUGGAGUGUGGGAGAGGUGCGUGGAAUUCCUGGUGUAGCGGUGAAAUGCGUAGAUAUCAGGAGGAACACCUGUGGCGAAAGCGGCGCACUGGACCACAACUGACGCUGAGGCACGAAAGCGUGGGGAUCAAACAGG